RNAcentral lists this unclassified non-coding RNA (211 nucleotides) under Hevea brasiliensis (rubber tree). Lineage: Eukaryota; Viridiplantae; Streptophyta; Magnoliopsida; Malpighiales; Euphorbiaceae. The record is from RNAcentral.
CGAGGAGGUACAGUGAAAUCAUUAUUUGAUUUGUUUGGUUGCAUCUUUACUGAUUAUUUGAGGCCAAUCUUUUCAUGCCACUGUGUUUUCCUGCAGGACCAGUUGCUUUUCUUUUCUUUGGUUCUUCUAGUUAGCCACUAUAACAGAUAACAUUGAAGAAAUCUUUCAUUAUUCUCUCCUAAAAGUAUCUUUUUGAUUUCAUGAAUUGCUG